Long non-coding RNA from Colossoma macropomum (tambaqui), 1673 nucleotides. RefSeq lists it as uncharacterized. The transcript has 3 exons. The record is from RefSeq and is a predicted model, not a curated record. NCBI's taxonomy places the organism in Eukaryota, Metazoa, Chordata, Actinopteri, Characiformes, Serrasalmidae.
CUAUGGAAUCAACAGUCUGCUCUACAUUUUGUUCUAGAUAAAAGUUGAAUGGUGUCAAAGGCUAUGUCACUAAAUUAGCUUACAUGAGAAUGAGGCUGAGAGUGUGUGAUUGGAUUCUUGAAGUCUUUCUUCGAUUUAAGGUAACACACAAACACAAAACACACAGAUUAUGGAUUAUCCUCUCAGUACAAAUUAUAUCUAAGCCCUAUUUUUGACUUUUUGGCACGUGCUAUUGUUUAGAGUAGUUGUGGCAAACUAUUUUUGAUGCAUGCUGACAACAGCUUUUUGACACUGUUGCAUCACGCUUCCACGCAACGUCGGGUGAACCUGUACCUUGUACUGUGGAACAAUAGAACAGAUUCUAAUUUUACAGGUGGCCUCAUAUGCUGUUGACUGUAGAACAAAGUUCAGAUGAACCUUCCAACUAAGAGUACCAUUAGCCUUCACAUGUACCGAAAGAACUUAAUCGGCUUGAUGAUGUCGGCAUCUGGAUGUCACUUUUAUGACCGCAGACUGUGCAUAGCCUACAGAUAGAUCAUCAGGUGGAGCUGAAUGAGACACUACAGCCAGUGAGUUAGAUCAAGCUGAAAACCACGGAGGAGAAUCUCCAACGCUCAAAUCUCCAGGUCAAAAUAAUCACUUAUAUCAUUUUCUCAUUACGAGAACCACAAAACCACAUUUCUGCAAACCACAAAAGCAUGGCAAAAACAAGCUCUGGUGGUCACAACGUCCAUGCUACAAUAUACACUAUUAGUGUGAGUAAGUAAGUGGAUAAGGAGUGUUAUGAGGAGAAGGAGGCCCUGGUCAAAGCUGAGAAUGGUGCCCAAAGUUAAUUUGUGUGGACUUUAUUAGUGGAUAAAGCAUCACUGAUAGUGACAGAGCUUAUAAUUUUAACAGUCUAUGAACAUAAAUAAUUUUAUCUUUUUAUGACAGGCUAUUGUGGUAAUCAGUUUAGGUCUAUGGUGUCAGCCAGUGUGUGCAAACAUCAUUAUGAAGUAAACAGUUCUGUAGAUAGCUAAUGUCUGAAACAAUGAAAUUACACCACUCAAAUGACACUGCAAAGCACCAUACAUUUGGAGACAGUUAGGAUAAAAGGCUAUAGUACAACACUCACGUUGGGAAGAAUUUAAACUGAAUGUCCAAUAAGUGUAAUUCUUUCAAAAUAACUCAAUGUAUUAAAAUUACUACCAGAAUUGUUAAAUGCAGUUUAAAAAUGCCCUGGCAAGCUGAGCCUAUUCUGCAUAGUCUUACCCUCUAACAAAUUUAAUAACCUGAAAUACUUAUAAAACACAACUUAUGCUAAUGAAAGUAGUGUGAUUUUCCUCCACAUACUGAUUCGCUGGUUGAAUUUUAUCUCCUGCAAUCUGAUAGGUUCGCUAAAUCUUGUGAUCUCAUAGGCUAAGAACAUCUUCAUAUACACAUGCCACAGGGAACUGCACAAUCAGUGUUAAGGUUGACUUUGCACUCUGUAAACUUUGCUACUGUAUUACUGUACAAUGUGCCUAGUUACUACAGAGUAGUACAACUUUUAACUUUUUGUCCUACUGUGAUGCUGUAUUGUAAAUGCAAAUUAUGUGUGUCCAUUAUCUAUACAUCUGGAUACCCCAAACAUGUUUCGUUAUACUAUACACUUGUGUAUAUGUAUAAUAAAAAUAAACUUGAAUUAAGUUGAA